Molecule: ribosomal RNA, 434 nt
Filed under: uncultured bacterium
Lineage: Bacteria
Description: bacterial SSU rRNA
Rfam family: Bacterial small subunit ribosomal RNA
Source: RNAcentral
AACGAACGCUGGCGGCGUGCCUAACACAUGCAAGUCGUACGCGAAAGGGGGCAACCCCCGGUAGCGUGGCAGACGGGUGAGUAACACGUGGGCAAUCUGCCCGGAGGUGGGGGAUAACCCUUCGAAAGGAGGGCUAAUACCGCAUGAUAUCCCGGAGUUUUUGGACUUCGGGAUCAAAGCUGGCCUCUACUUGUAAGCUAGCGCCACCGGAGGAGCCCGCGUCCCAUUAGCUAGUUGGUGAGGUAACGGCNCACCAAGGCUACGAUGGGUAGCCGGCCUGAGAGGGCGACCGGCCACACUGGAACUGCGACACGGUCCAGACUCCUACGGGAGGCAGCAGUGAGGAAUCUUGCGCGAUGGGCGAAAGCCUGACGCAGCGACGCCGCGUGGAGGAUCAAGGUCUUCGGAUCGUAAACUCCUAGUCGAGCGGGACG